UCCCCGGUGGCUCAAUCGGCAGAGCGGGUGGCUGUUAACCACUAGGUUGGCGGUUCAAGUCCGUCCCGGGGAGCCA
Molecule: transfer RNA, 76 nt
Filed under: Desulfoplanes formicivorans
Lineage: Bacteria; Pseudomonadati; Thermodesulfobacteriota; Desulfovibrionia; Desulfovibrionales; Desulfoplanaceae
Also listed under: 1 other name
Description: tRNA-Asn
Rfam family: tRNA
About the family: Transfer RNA (tRNA) molecules are approximately 80 nucleotides in length.
Source: RNAcentral